RNAcentral lists this ribosomal RNA (429 nucleotides) under Acidobacteriota bacterium. RNAcentral's name for it is "Acidobacteria bacterium partial 16S ribosomal RNA". It matches the Rfam family "Bacterial small subunit ribosomal RNA", at positions 355 to 776 of the family's 1533-position model. The record is from RNAcentral. Lineage: Bacteria; Pseudomonadati; Acidobacteriota.
UGGGGAAUUUUGGACAAUGGGGGAAACCCUGAUCCAGCCAUCCCGCGUGUGCGAUGAAGGCCUUCGGGUUGUAAAGCACUUUUGGCAGGAAAGAAACGUCAUGGGUUAAUACCCCGUGAAACUGACGGUACCUGCAGAAUAAGCACCGGCUAACUACGUGCCAGCAGCCGCGGUAAUACGUAGGGUGCAAGCGUUAAUCUGAAUUACUGGGCGUAAAGCGUGCGCAGGCGGUUCGGAAAGAAAGAUGUGAAAUCCCAGAGCUCAACUUUGGAACUGCAUUUUUAACUACCGGGCUAGAGUGUGUGAGAGGGAGGUGGAAUUCCGCGUGUAGCAGUGAAAUGCGUAGAUAUGCGGAGGAACACCGAUGGCGAAGGCAGCCUCCUGGGAUAACACUGACGCUCAUGCACGAAAGCGUGGGGAGCAAACAGG